CAGGUAGCAUAAUCAGUAGUCUCUUGAUUGGGGGCUGGGAUGAAAGGCUAGAUGAAAUACACGCUGUCUCCAUNGUGAUAAAUAAAAAUUUAAUUUUUUAGUUAAAAAGCUGAAAUAAAAUUAAGGGACGAGAAGACCCUAUAGAUCUUUAUAAAGGUAAAUGAANAAAUUUAGAAGAAUUAAAAUUUUAUUGAAAUUUUAUUUUGUUGGGGUGACAGGGAAAUAAAAAAACUUUCUUGACAUUUUACACAAAUUUGUGAAUGACAUAGAUCCAAACAUUUUGAUUAAAAGACUAAGUUACCUUAGGGAUAACAGCAUAAUCCUUUCUGAGAGUUCUAAUCGAGGAAAGGGGUUGUGACCUCGAUGUUGAAUUAAGAU
This 378-nucleotide ribosomal RNA is filed under the name Ulmeritoides sp. 1 MM-2019. Its description in RNAcentral is "partial 16S ribosomal RNA". It matches the Rfam family "Bacterial large subunit ribosomal RNA", at positions 1953 to 2543 of the family's 2925-position model. Lineage: Eukaryota; Metazoa; Arthropoda; Insecta; Ephemeroptera; Leptophlebiidae. The record is from RNAcentral.